This 510-nucleotide ribosomal RNA is filed under the name uncultured bacterium. RNAcentral describes it as "bacterial SSU rRNA". It matches the Rfam family "Bacterial small subunit ribosomal RNA", at positions 34 to 518 of the family's 1533-position model. The record is from RNAcentral.
CGCUGGCGGCGUGCCUAAUACAUGCAAGUCGAACGGUCUUUCUAUGGAAGCUUGCUUCCACUGAAAGAUAGUGGCGAACGGGUGAGUAACACGUGGGUAACCUGCCCAUAAGAGGGGGAUAACAUCCGGAAACGGGUGCUAAUACCGCAUAGUUUUCUUGAUCGCAUGAUCGGGAAAGGAAAGACGGCCUUUGUGCUGUCGCUUAUGGAUGGACCCGCGGCGUAUUAGUUAGUUGGUGAGGUAACGGCUCACCAAGACGAUGAUACGUAGCCGACCUGAGAGGGUGAUCGGCCACAUUGGGACUGAGACACGGCCCAAACUCCUACGGGAGGCAGCAGUAGGGAAUCUUCCGCAAUGGACGAAAGUCUGACGGAGCAACGCCGCGUGAGUGAAAGAAGGUUUUCGGAUCGUAAAACUCUGUUGUCAGAGAAGAACAAGUUGGAGAGUAACUGCUCCAGCCUUGACGGUAUCUGACCAGAAAGCCACGGCUAACUACGUGCCAGCCGCCGC